UUUGCUUAUUUGAUUGCCAUGAUAUUGGAUUAUUACCAAGGAAGACUAGAUAACCAGUCACUGAUCUUCUAGUAUUAUGAUCAACCACAUUCCAAGUAUUAAUACAUCUAACAAUGAAGGUAGAGAUUACUUGCAGAAGAGAUGAUUGCAAUUGAGUGAAUCCGCAGAACUCAGUAGACUCAAACUGCAAAACAGAUGGGGAAAAAUCAAGCCCAUUAACAAAGUGAAGAGAAAUUUUAUAUCUUUAAACGAAUUCUAGACAAAAUCAUGUAAAGGAAUUAAAUGUUGCGGAUUAUAAAUUAAGAAAUUAAAAAAAAAACCAUUUAAAUUUGUUUACUUGCCGACUUCCCAUCUGGUUGUAGAGAAUCAAACUGUAUGCAGUUCAGAUUUAC
This 392-nucleotide long non-coding RNA is filed under the name Malus domestica (apple). RNAcentral describes it as "long non-coding RNA (MDOM_LNC009143)". Lineage: Eukaryota; Viridiplantae; Streptophyta; Magnoliopsida; Rosales; Rosaceae. The record is from RNAcentral.